Molecule: ribosomal RNA, 253 nt
Filed under: uncultured bacterium
Lineage: Bacteria
Description: partial 16S ribosomal RNA
Rfam family: Bacterial small subunit ribosomal RNA
Source: RNAcentral
UACAGAGGGGGCAAGCGUUGUUCGGAAUUACUGGGCGUAAAGGGCGCGUAGGCGGCCUGUUAAGUCGAACGUGAAAUCCCCGGGCUCAACCCGGGAACUGCGUCCGAUACUGGCAGGCUUGAGUUUGGGAGAGGGACGCGGAAUUCCAGGUGUAGCGGUGAAAUGCGUAGAUAUCUGGAGGAACACCGGUGGCGAGGGCGGCGUCCUGGACCAACACUGACACUGAGGAGCGAAAGCCAGGGGAGCAAACGGG